AUGCCGGACACGACGGACGACGUGGCGGAGGGGAUAUCGUUCCAGGCGUUCGAGGACGACUGCCGCCUGCUCGGCAGCCUCCUCCACGAGGUGCUCCUCCGCGAGCUCGGCCCGGGCUUCGUCAAGCUCUUCGAGCGCAUCCGCAUCCUCGCCCAGAGCGCCAUGACGAUGCGCGGCGCGGGGAUGGAGGACACGGCGGCGGUGGUGGAGCGGCAGCUGGAGGCGGAGCUGUCCGCCAUGUCGCUCGAGGACUCGCUCUCCCUCGCCCGCGCCUUCGCCCACCACCUCAACCUCAUGGGCAUCGCCGAGAGGCACCACAGGGUCCGCAAAUCACGUAGUGAAGUGCAUCUGUCAAAAUCAUGUCACGAUAUAUUCGACAAGUUGAUCCAAGGCGGCGUUCCUCCAGAACAACUCUAUGAUACUGUCUGCAAACAGGGGGUUGAAAUCGUUCUUACGGCGCAUCCAACUCAAAUAAAUCGGCGAACCUUGCAAUACAAGCACCUUAGGAUAGCCCAUCUUUUGGAGUUCAACGGACGGCGUGAUCUUAACUAUGAGGAUAGAGAGAUGCUAAUAGAAGACCUGGUAAGGGAAAUCACAGCAUUAUGGCAGACAGAUGAGUUGAGGCGCCAUAAACCUACACCAGUUGAUGAAGCUAGGGCUGGCCUUCAUAUUGUGGAACAAUCUCUCUGGAAAUCGAUACCACGCUAUCUUCGCCGUGUCAGCAAUGCUCUAAAGAAGCAUACUGGCAAGCCUCUUCCACUAACCUGCACACCAAUCAAAUUUGGUUCAUGGAUGGGUGGCGACCGAGACGGGAAUCCUAAUGUCACAUCAAAAGUGACUCGGGAUGUUUCCUUGAUGGCCCGUUGGAUGGCAAUUGACCUGUACAUCCGACAACUAGACAGUCUCAGCUUUGAGUUAUCCAUCAAGAAAUGUAGCGAUAAGCUUGCAACCUUAGCCAAUGAAAUCUUGCUCAAAGACUCAGAGUCGACAUCCGAAGAGAAGAAGGCCAAUCCUUGGACCAAAACAGGACCAGAAAACAACUUAAAACGGCCGCCUAGGAUGGGGAUGCCUGCUCAGCUUCCUUCUGGUGCUGAUCUUCCAUCAUUGACAGAAUGCAGUGAUAGCGAAUCUCAAUUCAGAAUAGUAAAACUUCCAUGCAACCCGAAACAUCAGGGAAUCCAAAUUCCAACAGAAAGAAGUGAGGAGAGUCACAGUCCAGUGCAGUCUCCUGGUCGUCGUCCAUCAUCAUCACAUAUGAGUCGAACUCCAAGUGGUAGUCAACUAAGGAAAAUGUUGUUCACAGAAUCUAAGAUAGGCCGGUCAAGCUUCCGAAAGCUUCUAGAGCCAAGCCUAUCAGAUAAACCAGGAAUUACCCCAUACAGGAUUGUCCUUGGUAAUGUGAAAGAAAAGAUGAUGAAGACACGGAGACGGCUUGAGCAUCUUCUUGAGGAUCUACCAUGUGACUCUGAUCCUGCAGAAUAUUAUGAAACACCGGAUCAACUUCUAGAGCCGUUGCUCUUGUGCUACGACUCACUGCAAUCAUGUGGAUCUAGCAUUCUUGCCGAUGGCCGGCUAGCCGAUCUUAUACGAAGGGUUGCAACCUUUGGUAUGGUGCUAAUGAAGCUCGACGUCCGCCAGGAAUCGGGCCGGCACACAGAAGCACUUGACGCCAUUACGUCUUACUUGGAUCUUGGCGUUUAUAGUGAGUGGGAUGAGGAAAAGAAGCUGGAUUUCUUGACUAGAGAGCUGAAAGGGAAGCGCCCUCUAGUUCCCCCAUACAUAGAGGUUAAUGCUGAUGUGAAAGAAGUUCUCGACACCUUCCGCGUUGCUGCAGAACUCGGGAGCGACUCGCUUGGAGCAUAUGUGAUUUCAAUGGCCUCCAAUGCCAGUGAUGUCCUCGCUGUCGAGUUGUUGCAGAAGGACGCAAGGCUAACAGUUAGUGGGGAUCUCGGAAGGGAAUGUCCCGGUGGAACGUUAAGAGUUGUUCCCUUGUUCGAGACGGUGAAGGAUCUUCGAGAAGCCGGUUCCGCGAUCUGGAAGUUGCUGGCCAUUGACUGGUACAGGGAGCAUAUCAUCAAGAACCACAACGGCCACCAAGAGGUCAUGGUGGGCUACUCUGAUUCUGGCAAGGACGCCGGCCGUUUCACGGCGGCGUGGGAGCUGUACAAGGCGCAGGAGGACGUGGUGGCGGCGUGCAACGAGCACGGCAUCAAGGUGACGCUCUUCCACGGCCGCGGCGGGAGCAUCGGGCGCGGCGGUGGGCCGACAUACCUGGCCAUCCAGUCCCAGCCCCCCGGCUCGGUGAUGGGGACGCUGCGGUCGACGGAGCAGGGCGAGAUGGUGCAGGCCAAGUUCGGGCUGCCGCAGACGGCGGUGCGGCAGCUGGAGAUCUACACGACGGCGGUGCUGCUGGCCACCCUGCGGCCACCGCAGCCGCCGCGGGACCCGAACUGGCGGCACGUCAUGGAGGAGAUCUCCCGCGCAAGCUGCGCGCACUACCGGCGCACCGUGUACGAGGACCCGGCCUUCGUCACCUACUUCCAGGAGGCGACGCCGCAGGCGGAGCUGGGCUACCUCAACAUCGGCAGCCGCCCGGCAAAGCGCAAGGCGGCGAUCACGGCCGCCGGCGGCAUCGCCAGCCUGCGCGCCAUCCCGUGGGUGUUCGCGUGGACGCAGACGCGGCUGGCGCUGCCGGCGUGGCUGGGCGUCGGCACGGGGCUCCAGGACGCGCGCGACAAGGGCCGCACCGAGGACCUCCGGGCCAUGUACGAGGAGUGGCCCUUCUUCCAGUCCACGCUCGACCUCAUCGAGAUGGUGGUGGCCAAGGCCGACGCGCCCAUGGCCAAGCACUACGACGACGUGCUGGUGCUGUCGCCGGAGCGGCGCGCGCUCGGGGAGGAGCUGCGGCGGGAGCUGGCCAGGGCGGGGAGCUGCGUGCUGGCCGUCAGCGGGCACACCAAGCUGUCGGCCAACAACCGGAGCCUGCGGCGGCUGAUCGAGAGCCGGCUGCCGUACCUCAACCCCAUGAACAUGCUGCAGGUGGAGGUGCUGCGCCGGCUGCGCCGAGACGACGACAACCACAAGCUCCGCGACGUGCUGCUCAUCACCAUCAACGGCAUCGCCGCAGGGAUGCGCAACACCGGCUAG
RNAcentral lists this ribosomal RNA (3147 nucleotides) under Triticum aestivum (bread wheat). RNAcentral's name for it is "partial small subunit ribosomal RNA". Lineage: Eukaryota; Viridiplantae; Streptophyta; Magnoliopsida; Poales; Poaceae. The record is from RNAcentral.